RNAcentral lists this ribosomal RNA (302 nucleotides) under uncultured bacterium. RNAcentral describes it as "partial 16S ribosomal RNA". It matches the Rfam family "Bacterial small subunit ribosomal RNA", at positions 508 to 809 of the family's 1533-position model. The record is from RNAcentral.
GCAGCCGCCGCGGUAAUACGUAGGGGGCGAGCGUUGUCCGAAGUUACUGGGCGUAAAGAGCGCGUAGGCUGGUCUUUAAGUGAGUGGUGAAAGGUUCGGGCUCAACCCGGACACUGCCUUUCAUACUGGGGACCUUGAGUGUGGGAGAGGCGAGUGGAAUGGUCGGUGUAGCGGUGAAAUGCGUAGAUAUCGAUCGGAACACCCAUGGCGAAGGCAGCUCGCUGGCCUAACACUGACGCUGAGGCGCGAAAGCGUGGGGAGCAAACAGGAUUAGAUACCCCCGUAGUCCCUGUCUCUUAUAA